UAGCUAGUUGGUGAGGUAAAGGCUUACCAAGGCGACGAUCUGUAGCGGGUCUGAGAGGAUGAUCCGCCACGCUGGAACUGAGACACGGUCCAGACUCCUACGGGAGGCAGCAGUGGGGAAUUUUGGACAAUGGGGGCAACCCUGAUCCAGCCAUGCCGCGUGAGUGAAGAAGGCCUUCGGGUUGUAAAGCUCUUUCGGCCGGGAAGAAAUCGCAUGGGCCAAUACCCUGUGUGGAUGACGGUACCGGAAUAAGAAGCACCGGCUAACUACGUGCCAGCAGCCGCGGUAAUACGUAGGGUGCGAGCGUUAAUCGGAAUUACUGGGCGUAAAGCGUGCGCAGGCGGUUUUGUAAGACAGGCGUGAAAUCCCCGGGCUUAACCUGGGAACUGCGUUUGUGACUGCAAGGCUAGAGUACGGCAGAGGGGGGUGGAAUUCCACGUGUAGCAGUGAAAUGCGUAGAGAUGUGGAGGAACACCAAUGGCGAAGGCAGCCCCCUGGGUCGAUACUGACGCUCAUGCACGAAAGCGUGGGUAGCAAACAGGAUUAGAUACCCUGGUAGUCCACGCCCUAAACUAUGUCAACUAGGUGUUGGGUGGGUAAAACCAUUUAGUACCGUAGCUAACGCGUGAAGUUGACCGCCUGGGGAGUACGGCCGCAAGGUUAAAACUCAAAGGAAUUGACGGGGACCCGCACAAGCGGUGGAUGAUGUGGAUUAAUUCGAUGCAACGCGAAAAACCUUACCUACCCUUGACAUGCCAGGAACUUGCCAGAGAUGGCUUGGUGCCCGAAAGGGAGCCUGGACACAGGUGCUGCAUGGCUGUCGUCAGCUCGUGUCGUGAGAUGUUGGGUUAAGUCCCGCAACGAGCGCAACCCUUGUCGUUAAUUGCCAUCAUUUAGUUGGGCACUUUAACGAGACUGCCGGUGACAAACCGGAGGAAGGUGGGGAUGACGUCAAGUCCUCAUGGCCCUUAUGGGUAGGGCUUCACACGUCAUACAAUGGUCGGUACAAAGGGUUGCCAAGCCGCGAGGCGGAGCCAAUCCCAGAAAGCUGAUCGUAGUCCGGAUUGCAGGCUGCAACUCGCCUGCAUGAAGUCGGAAUCGCUAGUAAUCGUGGAUCAGCAUGUCACGGUGAAUACGUUCCCGGGUCUUGUACACACCGCCCGUCACACCAUGGGAGCGGGUUCCGCCAGAAGUAGGUAGCCUAACCGCAAGGGGGGCGCUUACCACGGCGGGGUUCGUGACUGGGGUGAAGUCGUAACAAGGUAGCCGUAGGGGAACCUGCGGCUG
RNAcentral lists this ribosomal RNA (1287 nucleotides) under metagenome. RNAcentral describes it as "bacterial SSU rRNA". It matches the Rfam family "Bacterial small subunit ribosomal RNA", at positions 242 to 1520 of the family's 1533-position model. The record is from RNAcentral.